RNAcentral lists this ribosomal RNA (492 nucleotides) under uncultured bacterium. RNAcentral describes it as "bacterial SSU rRNA". It matches the Rfam family "Bacterial small subunit ribosomal RNA", at positions 903 to 1397 of the family's 1533-position model. The record is from RNAcentral.
AAAUGAAUUGACGGGGGCCCGCACAAGCAGCGGAGCAUGUGGUUUAAUUCGAAGCAACGCGAAGAACCUUACCAAGGCUUGACAUCCUCUGAUCUUCAUGGAAACAUGAAUUCCCUUCGGGGCAGAGAGACAGGUGGUGCAUGGUUGUCGUCAGCUCGUGUCGUGAGAUGUUGGGUUAAGUCCCGCAACGAGCGCAACCCUUAUCAUUAGUUGCCAGCACUUAGGGUGGGAACUCUAAUGAGACUGCCGGGGACAACUCGGAGGAAGGUGGGGACGACGUCAAAUCAUCAUGCCCCUUAUGUCUUGGGCUACACACGUGCUACAAUGGCCGGUACAAAGGGCAGCGAAGCCGUAAGGUGAAGCGAAUCCCAUAAAGCCGGUCUCAGUUCGGAUCGUGGGCUGCAACCCGCCCACGUGAAGCCGGAGUUGCUAGUAAUCGCGAAUCAGCAUGUCGCGGUGAAUGCGUUCCCGGGCCUUGUACACACCGCCCGU